CAUAGGUUAAUGAGGCGAACCGGGGGAACUGAAACAUCUAAGUACCCCGAGGAAAAGAAAUCAACCGAGAUUCCCCCAGUAGCGGCGAGCGAACGGGGAGGAGCCCAGAGCCUGAAUCAGUGUGUGUGUUAGUGGAAGCGUCUGGAAAGGCGCGCGAUACAGGGUGACAGCCCCGUACACAAAAAUGCACAUACUGUGAGCUCGAUGAGUAGGGCGGGACACGUGGUAUCCUGUCUGAAUAUGGGGGGACCAUCCUCCAAGGCUAAAUACUCCUGACUGACCGAUAGUGAACCAGUACCGUGAGGGAAAGGCGAAAAGAACCCCGGCGAGGGGAGUGAAAAAGAACCUGAAACCGUGUACGUACAAGCAGUGGGAGCCUCUUUAUGGGGUGACUGCGUACCUUUUGUAUAAUGGGUCAGCGACUUAUAUUCUGUAGCAAGGUUAACCGAAUAGGGGAGCCGAAGGGAAACCGAGUCUUAACUGGGCGUUAAGUUGCAGGGUAUAGACCCGAAACCCGGUGAUCUAGCCAUGGGCAGGUUGAAGGUUGGGUAACACUAACUGGAGGACCGAACCGACUAAUGUUGAAAAAUUAGCGGAUGACUUGUGGCUGGGGGUGAAAGGCCAAUCAAACCGGGAGAUAGCUGGUUCUCCCCGAAAGCUAUUUAGGUAGCGCCUCGUGAAUUCAUCUCCGGGGGUAGAGCACUGUUUCGGCAAGGGGGUCAUCCCGACUUACCAACCCGAUGCAAACUGCGAAUACCGGAGAAUGUUAUCACGGGAGACACACGGCGGGUGCUAACGUCCGUCGUGAAGAGGGAAACAACCCAGACCGCCAGCUAAGGUCCCAAAGUCAUGGUUAAGUGGGAAACGAUGUGGGAAGGCCCAGACAGCCAGGAUGUUGGCUUAGAAGCAGCCAUCAUUUAAAGAAAGCGUAAUAGCUCACUGGUCGAGUCGGCCUGCGCGGAAGAUGUAACGGGGCUAAACCAUGCACCGAAGCUGCGGCAGCGACACUAUGUGUUGUUGGGUA
RNAcentral lists this ribosomal RNA (1024 nucleotides) under Escherichia coli. RNAcentral's name for it is "partial 23S ribosomal RNA". It matches the Rfam family "Bacterial large subunit ribosomal RNA", at positions 165 to 1230 of the family's 2925-position model. The record is from RNAcentral. Lineage: Bacteria; Pseudomonadati; Pseudomonadota; Gammaproteobacteria; Enterobacterales; Enterobacteriaceae.